AAAAAAUAAGAACUGGAAAUACAACAUAUACUAAUCUCGGCCCGAAUGGCCCAAAGUAAAAACAUCUGAACCGACAAAAUUGUGUGGUCGAUGACCACUCACUUUAAAAAACAGAAAAGGCAAGAACAAAAUUGUCUGUCUCGAUGUUUCGUUACGGAAGACAAUUUCCAUGGCGAAACUUUUAAUCGAAGUUAGAGAACUCAUGAUAUGAACGGCCGCGGCUUACUUGUUGUGGUAAAGAUGGAAACGACUGCUUGUAGAGGUGAAAAUCGAUGGUAGCAAAUCAAAUAACUACCGAUUUUCUAAGAUUAGCUGAAAAACGUCCUAACGAUCCAAACUCGGUAGAUCCACGGAGGACUUCACCUUUUACGAUUUAUUUAGGCAUCCGUGAGAAAAACGAUGAGUUUGAGAUGGUUGACGAAGUUCACCUUUUCAACUCUCUUUGACCAAGUCCUAAGAAGAAUUGAAAGACCACAAAAAGCUAUUCUAUUACUCAAACUUGAGGUGGUCUGGGAAGCCAGACCGGAAUAGAACAACCAAUAAAACAUAAGGAUCUAUGAAACGAACGUGCAUUCCUAGCUAACGAAUCUGCAAUCUCAUUCUGCGUCUUUGGAAAGUAACUGAUCUUGAAGUCCCAAAAACAUAACCGAAGAGUUUGAAUGAUUUCCAGUUCAGUUGAGAAGUUGGGCCAAUCUUGCGGCUGUUCUAUCAUUGCAAUCAGGUCCUUGCAGUCCGUCCCAAACCUCUGACAGGUCGAGUGUUGUAUCAUACUCUCCAUUGCCCACUUUAGCGCUUCCAGUUCCGAGUGCAGCGGUGUCUCUCUUCUCCGCAAGUUCCUUGACCCCAUGAGCUGUAUCUUCUCCAUUGAAUAAUAUACUUUUGAAGAAAAUAUUCAUAUUCCAACUACAAAGAUUAUGGAUUUCAUUCUUCUAUGGAGAACAAUAUGUUUUAAAAAUAAAAGAUAAGUUAUUUCCAGAUACUUUGUCUUCUAGAUACUGUCUUCUUUUACAUUAAUAUAAAUCCUAAUUUCCAUAUAAAUAUCGCAUGAUUAGUUUAUUAAUGUGUUUGAAUUUUACAUUUGACAGCUACGAUAAAUUUGAUUUAAGACAAAUACACGUAGGAAGUGAACAUUUACCAUCACCAAAAGGGAGAUCAUGGUGAUACCAAAAGUUAAGUCACUAUAAAAUGAAACAGCAGCAGAAGAGUUCCUGCCUCUUGUUUCGCUGCAGCAUCUGUUGUCUCUUUCACCUGUUUACAUUGGUCCUGCUGUGAGGAACGGACCCUCAUAAACAGGUAGACUGCUAAUCUCAUAUCUCAUAUUUUAUAGAUGAGCAAAUAUCAAAUUUAGACAAUUUUUGUUUCUAAUACCAAAUUUUACAUCUAUUCUAUUAAAACUCCUGUAUGACCAAUUGAUAUUAACUGGGUCCAACUUAAAUUUUUUACGUUUUUGUAUAACUGCAUCAAUUUAUAAUAAAGCUAUGUAACCAGUAACCACCCUUCAUUUAUAUCACGUAUUCUCCCUUAAUAAUCGGCUGCGCCUUUCUUUUGCUUAAUAAUCAGUUGGGCCUUUAUUUUUUAAACGAAAUUUAAAUGUAACCACUACACAAUGAGAAUUGUAACCACCACAUCAUAUCACCUAAAAUUUGGGAGCCAACAUUUAGAAUAAAGUUAUUGUUUAAUUAAAAAAUCUAUUCUAUUAAAACACAAGUAUGACCAAUUGAUAUAUGUUGAGUCUAAUAAUUGUUUUUCUAUGUUAUCAAA
This is a long non-coding RNA of Brassica napus (rape), 1761 nucleotides long. RefSeq lists it as uncharacterized. Lineage: Eukaryota; Viridiplantae; Streptophyta; Magnoliopsida; Brassicales; Brassicaceae. The transcript has 4 exons. The record is from RefSeq and is a predicted model, not a curated record.